AAGUAAGGUUGUUCAGCUAAAAGCGCGACGUCCUGUCGCAACGCUGAACGAGCCUUCAUCUUGAAGG
This is a small RNA of Bacillus sp. SJS, 67 nucleotides long. It matches the Rfam family "Bacillaceae-1 RNA". The record is from Rfam. Lineage: Bacteria; Bacillati; Bacillota; Bacilli; Caryophanales; Bacillaceae.